RNAcentral lists this unclassified non-coding RNA (279 nucleotides) under plant metagenome. Its description in RNAcentral is "partial contains small subunit ribosomal RNA, internal transcribed spacer 1, and 5.8S ribosomal RNA". The record is from RNAcentral.
UCUCCGUUGGUGAACCAGCGGAGGGAUCAUUACAGAGUUCUAGAACUCACGGGUAUAUCUGAAACCUACUGUCAGUGUCACUGUCGUUUCGUUUCCGGGCCGGCGGGUCCCCGCCCGCCGGGGACCAAUAGUCGGCGCGGGCGCGCCAGCGGCCUUCGCACCCCGAACGGUAGAAACGUCCAAGUACUGUUCAAUAGUUAAAACUUUCAACAACGGAUCCAUUGGUUCUGGCAUCGAUGCAGAAGGCAUCCGAUCGGGAGACCACACGUCUGAACCCCA